GUCCACAAUCCAACGCAACUGCUUGUCUUACUCCAUCCCAAAAAAAAAAUUCUUCUUUUCUCCUCUCCUCUCCUAUCCUUCUUUCAUGGACGCCUCGAGGCAGCUGCCAAAAGCCCCUGCAAAAACAUUUUCUCUCAAGAACUAUAUGUUGUACCAGUUUGUUAAAAAAUCUCACCUUGAAUAAAAAAAAAUUUACUUACUUUGUGUGUGCUGCUGAUUAUUUUCAUCCUCUGCUCGGAUUUCUCUUGUCCUCUUCACCGGGGUUAUCCGGGCCAUCGGGUAAAUUAUACCUGAUUAAUCCCCCACCGGCCCGAGAGGAGAGGUCCCAUCCCCCCGAACACGAUAACCAUGGGACUCGAACCCUGGCGGGACUGGACAACAGCUCCUAAAGAGGCAUGCUGUGACCAACCGAGCUGCCCAUGAGGGGCAUUUUCAGUGAUUCUAUUUGAAUGCUUGAUCUUUAAAAUUUACUGUGUUGGUUGAAGUUGUAUAAGUUUAUAAUUGUUUGAAAUUAUUUGUGUUUGUUAAAGCUAUUAAUUGUGGAGACACUAGUUCGGUUGUGGGAUUGGUAGUUCAAUAAAUUGAGAGCUAAUGUUAGUUUUCAAUCUCCAAAUGCUUAUUUAAACAAUGACAUUUGAAUGAUCCGGUUGUUGUCACUUUUAUGAAGUGGACAUAGACAUUAAGUGAAUUAGGACC
Long non-coding RNA from Coffea arabica (coffee), 696 nucleotides. RefSeq lists it as uncharacterized. The record is from RefSeq and is a predicted model, not a curated record. NCBI's taxonomy places the organism in Eukaryota, Viridiplantae, Streptophyta, Magnoliopsida, Gentianales, Rubiaceae.